RNAcentral lists this ribosomal RNA (497 nucleotides) under uncultured bacterium. RNAcentral's name for it is "partial 16S ribosomal RNA". It matches the Rfam family "Bacterial small subunit ribosomal RNA", at positions 28 to 507 of the family's 1533-position model. The record is from RNAcentral.
GAUGAACGCUGGCGGCGUGCCUAAUACAUGCAAGUCGAGCGAACGGACGAGAAGCUUGCUUCUCUGAUGUUAGCGGCGGACGGGUGAGUAACACGUGGAUAACCUACCUAUAAGACUGGGAUAACUUCGGGAAACCGGAGCUAAUACCGGAUAAUAUUUUGAACCGCAUGGUUCAAAAGUGAAAGACGGUCUUGCUGUCCCUUAUAGAUGGAUCCGCGCUGCAUUAGCUAGUUGGUAAGGUAACGGCUUACCAAGGCAACGAUGCAUAGCCGACCUGAGAGGGUGAUCGGCCAUACUGGAACUGAGACACGGUCCAGACUCCUACGGGAGGCAGCAGUAGGGAAUCUUCCGCAAUGGGCGAAAGCCUGACGGAGCAACGCCGCGUGAGUGAUGAAGGUCUUCGGAUCGUAAAACUCUGUUAUUAGGGAAGAACAUAUGUGUAAGUAACUGUGCACAUCUUGACGUUACCUAAUCAGAAAGCCACGGCUAACUACGUG